GAUGAACGCUGGCGGCGUGCCUAAUACAUGCAAGUCGAGCGAACAGACGAGGAGCUUGCUCCUCUGACGUUAGCGGCGGACGGGUGAGUAACACGUGUAUAACCUACCUAUAAGACUGGGAUAACUUCGGGAAACCGGAGCUAAUACCGGAUAAUAUAUUGAACCGCAUGGUUCAAUAGUGAAAGACGGUUUUGCUGUCACUUAUAGAUGGAUCCGAGCCGCAUUAGCUAGUUGGUAAGGUAACGGCUUACCAAGGCGACGAUGCGUAGCCGACCUGAGAGGGUGAUCGGCUCACAUGGAACUGGGACACGGUCCAGACUCCUACGGGAGGCAGCAGUAGGGAAUCUUCCGCAAUGGGCGAAAGCCUGACGGAGCAACGCCGCGUGAGUGAUGAAGGUCUUCGGAUCGUAAAACUCUGUUAUUAGGGAAGAAAAAAUGUGUAAGUAACUAUGCACGUCUUGACGGUAACUAAUCAGAAAGCCACGGCUAACUACGUGC
RNAcentral lists this ribosomal RNA (498 nucleotides) under uncultured bacterium. RNAcentral's name for it is "partial 16S ribosomal RNA". It matches the Rfam family "Bacterial small subunit ribosomal RNA", at positions 28 to 508 of the family's 1533-position model. The record is from RNAcentral.